RNAcentral lists this transfer RNA (76 nucleotides) under Candidatus Magasanikbacteria bacterium RIFOXYA2_FULL_44_8. RNAcentral describes it as "tRNA-Pro". It matches the Rfam family "tRNA". Rfam says of the family: Transfer RNA (tRNA) molecules are approximately 80 nucleotides in length. The record is from RNAcentral. Lineage: Bacteria; Candidatus Magasanikiibacteriota.
CGGGCUGUAGCGCAGUUGGUAGCGCGCUUGCAUGGGGUGCAAGAGGUCGCACGUUCAAAUCGUGUCAGCCCGACAA